RNAcentral lists this ribosomal RNA (468 nucleotides) under uncultured bacterium. RNAcentral's name for it is "partial 16S ribosomal RNA". It matches the Rfam family "Bacterial small subunit ribosomal RNA", at positions 28 to 507 of the family's 1533-position model. The record is from RNAcentral.
GACGAACGCUGGCGGCGUGCCUAACACAUGCAAGUCGAACGGAAAGGCCCUGCUUUUGUGUGGUUCUCGAGUGGCGAACGGGUGAGAAACACGUGAGUAUCCUGCCCUUGACUGUGGGAUAACUUCAGGCAACUGGGGCUAAUACCGGAUAGCUGCUGCUGCAGCAUGGGGGGGGUUGGAAAGUUUCGGCGGGUGGGGAUGGAUUCGCGGCUUAUCAGCUUGUUGGUGGAGGAGUCGCUUACCAACGCUUUGACGGGUGGCCUGCCCUGGAGCGUGACCGGCGACCUGGGGACUGAGGGACGGCGCAGACGCGUACAGGAGGCAGCAGUGGGGAAUAUUGCACAAUGGGCGGAAGCGUGAUGCAGAGGCGCUGCGUGCGGGAUGAAGGCCUACGGGGUGUAAACCGCUUUCGCCUGAGACGAAGCGUGAGUGACGGUAAUGGGUAAAGAAGCACCGGCUAACUACGUG